ACAUCCCUCGACCGCGUAUGAAGUAACGUUUUCUACCCUCCGGGUGGACAGGGAGGACAGGUGGUGCAUGGUUGUCGUCAGCUCGUGUCGUGAGAUGUUGGGUUAAGUCCGCACGAGCGCAACCCUUGUCUUUAGUUGUCCAUCAUUAAGUUUGGGCGACUCUAAAGAGACUGCCGAUGACAAAUCGGAGGAAGGUGGGGAUGACGUCAAAUCAUCAUGCCCUUUAUGUCCUGGGCUACACACGUGCUACAAUGGUCGGUACAACGAGAAGCAAGUCAGCGAUGGCAAGCAAAUACUCUAAAAGCCGAUCCCAGUUCGGAUUGCAGGCUGCAACUCGCCUGCAUGAAGUCGGAGUUGCUAGUAAUCGCGGAUCAGAAUGCCGCGGUGAAUGCGUUCCCGGGUCUU
RNAcentral lists this ribosomal RNA (405 nucleotides) under uncultured Eubacteriales bacterium. RNAcentral's name for it is "bacterial SSU rRNA". It matches the Rfam family "Bacterial small subunit ribosomal RNA", at positions 984 to 1382 of the family's 1533-position model. The record is from RNAcentral. Lineage: Bacteria; Bacillati; Bacillota; Clostridia; Eubacteriales.